AUGCAUGAUGCUACGACUAUGGAGGCAACUACCAUUGCCACGACAAGUGAAGCAAAUACUCCGUAACCUAUGGCACCUGUUGAAAAUUCCGAAAAGUUUGCGGGCAUUGACUUCAAGUGAUGGCAACAAAAGAUGUUCUUUUACCUCACCACUCUAUGUCUUCAAAGUUUCACUAGUGAGGAUGCUCCUUAGGUGCCCA
RNAcentral lists this long non-coding RNA (199 nucleotides) under Capsicum annuum. RNAcentral describes it as "long non-coding RNA (CANN_LNC021160)". The record is from RNAcentral. Lineage: Eukaryota; Viridiplantae; Streptophyta; Magnoliopsida; Solanales; Solanaceae.